Molecule: ribosomal RNA, 179 nt
Filed under: Klebsiella quasipneumoniae
Lineage: Bacteria; Pseudomonadati; Pseudomonadota; Gammaproteobacteria; Enterobacterales; Enterobacteriaceae
Description: 16S rRNA. Bacterial SSU
Rfam family: Bacterial small subunit ribosomal RNA
Source: RNAcentral
UUAAAUUGAAGAGUUUGAUCAUGGCUCAGAUUGAACGCUGGCGGCAGGCCUAACACAUGCAAGUCGAGCGGUAGCACAGAGAGCUUGCUCUCGGGUGACGAGCGGCGGACGGGUGAGUAAUGUCUGGGAAACUGCCUGAUGGAGGGGGAUAACUACUGGAAACGGUAGCUAAUACCGCA